GCCUCGGUGGUGUAGUGGUAGGGCACGCAUCCCUGGAUAAGAGAAAGCGCGGGUUCAAAACCCGACUGAGGCA
Non-coding RNA from Parelaphostrongylus tenuis, 73 nucleotides. NCBI's taxonomy places the organism in Eukaryota, Metazoa, Nematoda, Chromadorea, Rhabditida, Metastrongylidae. The record is from the annotation of a GenBank genome assembly.